This 233-nucleotide ribosomal RNA is filed under the name uncultured bacterium. Its description in RNAcentral is "partial 16S ribosomal RNA". The record is from RNAcentral.
UAAUCCGACCUAGGCUCAUCCAUUAGCGCAAGGUCUUACGAUCCCCUGCUUUCCUCCGUAAAGCGUAUGCGGUAUUAGCCCGGCUUUCGCCGGGUUAUCCCCCACAAAUGGGCAGAUUCCUACGUAUUACUCACCCGUCCGCCACUCGUCGCCAGGGUUGCCCCCGCGUUACCGUUCGACUUGCAUGUGUUAGGCAUGCCGCCAGCGUUCAAUCUGAGCCAGGAUCAAACUCU